CAGUUUCUUUUCCUGUCCAAUCAUCAUGCAAUUUGGAGAGCAUAUGGAAAAUUGUUAUUGGCAUUCCCAUGCAUGGAUCUGUCUGCAGCUGCAGCUCUAGAGAUUGCUGCCAAGCAAUUGAGAAUAGUUGCCUAUUCCAAUCUAUCAAGAGAUAUUCCAAUGGGCCAAGGCUACGCAAGUUGCUUUAUUUUUUUUAAUUGCAGGUGAAAAAUGGUCUGGAUGGAAUGAAAGGCUUUUAGAUCAGGAGCAGCACAUGGGUCACAUGCAUAGAUGACAAGAUGGGCCGAGCUAAAUGGUUAGCAUGAGGUUUAUAAUUUUGGCCAGACACUAAAAGCACCCCAGCACAAACCCUAUAAGUGCCCUCGUUGGCGUGGCUUGAGUCGUAGUGCCCAGGAUGGGCCUUUCUAGCGGCGCAUUGGGUGGCACAAUCACGAUGCCGCAAUUUCUAGGAACCGCAGUGGCAGCUGUAGCAUGCAUGAGACUAGGCCGGCAACUUCCUGGGUACGUCACGAUGGGCUCACUAAGGGCUUAUUCAUUUCUGAGCUGGAAUAGCCUAAAACUAUUUGGUGACCAAAACCAUUUUAUAUUUUGUACUAAACAGGCCCUAAAUGUUACGUGCCAUUCCAAGCUAGGAACCGAACGUACGGGCCCUAAUGCUGAAACAGCUGAGGCGAUUGCUUGUAGAGUUGUAGGGAAGGUUUAGCUUUGAGGUCCUUUCAUUUGGCUUCCGACAACGUCAAUCUUCUACAACUAAAGAGCACCCACAAAGAAUCGUCCAACUGCACACCCAAAAGUUUUUGGUAAAAAAAACUGAUAGUAAAAGAAACGGAAAAACAAUCGUGAAAAAAGCAAAAAAAAACAACAACUAGCUAAAACGGAAUGGAAAAAACGAUCGGAAAAAGAAUGCAUGUGGUCGAGGUGUAAGGUUCAAGUAUUUAUCUUGUGUCAUAAGAAGUGUUGGAGGCGUAGGAUUGUGUUCAUAUGGCCAAUAAGUUGUAAAAGAGAUAAAGGCUAGGGCACUUGAUUUCCUUUUUUAGACUUUGCUCAUGCAUGAGAGUACAAAAUCUAAUGUUGAUGCUCACAACUUAGUCAGAAGCAUGUUUUUUUCUUUUGAGACAGACAGGCAUCUUUAGCUGUUAGAACCGUCUGUUGCGUUCGUAACUCACACGAUCAACUCCAUGAAUAAAGAGUAGAGAGGGCCGUCCAAUAACAUCCCAAUACCCUCUCGCUAGGGCAGCACAGGAGUAGCUGAAACCACGCCCCGCGCUCACCAAUCCCAUGCCCAUACGAUCGAACCACACCCAGCACCCAUCCCAUGCUCGCUUGGUGGAACAGCGAUCCUACACACACCUGCCCUGCCUGCGGAGGCUUCUGCUGACCUCAGGCAUCAGCACACUAGCCAUGGCGGGGCCCUCAGCAGUAGUAAUCUACUUUUGAAACAAUCAGAUGAAACAAUUGCAACAAAAAUCUGCGACAGAUGAAACACUUGAAACUUGCGCUUCCAACAUGCAUGUGAAGUCAGUGCAACAUAUACAAUAACUCUGGGCAUAUUACCCGCUACCCGAACCCGAAAUACCCAGAUCCGAACUACCCGAACCCGCACUACCCGAUAUCUUGUUCGGAUAGCAAAUUCUGUUACCCGAAUUUAUAUUGGGUAAUUCGGGUAACUAUGACCGGUACCCGAACUACCCAUAAUUCUACGUUGCCGUAGUCAAAGCUAAGCCACCUCCGGCUCCUUGGCUUCAGGCUCCUCAUUAACUC
RNAcentral lists this long non-coding RNA (1761 nucleotides) under Sorghum bicolor (sorghum). RNAcentral describes it as "long non-coding RNA (SBIC_LNC009748)". Lineage: Eukaryota; Viridiplantae; Streptophyta; Magnoliopsida; Poales; Poaceae. The record is from RNAcentral.